AAACCAUGAUCAGGGCAGUCUCUCUCAUACUCCUUAAAUCGCUCAUAUGCCUCGAAAAAUGACUAUAAGGGGCCUUGUUGGAAACUUUGGAUCUUGUUUCUCAGCAG
Eutrema salsugineum is the source of this 107-nucleotide small nucleolar RNA. It matches the Rfam family "Plant small nucleolar RNA R71". From Rfam's summary of the family: R71 is a member of the C/D box family of snoRNAs containing the C (UGAUGA) and D (CUGA) box motifs. Multiple nearly identical copies of this snoRNA have been identified in Arabidopsis, and it is thought to function as a 2'-O-ribose methylation guide for 18S ribosomal RNA. The record is from Rfam. NCBI's taxonomy places the organism in Eukaryota, Viridiplantae, Streptophyta, Magnoliopsida, Brassicales, Brassicaceae.